RNAcentral lists this ribosomal RNA (252 nucleotides) under uncultured bacterium. RNAcentral describes it as "partial 16S ribosomal RNA". It matches the Rfam family "Bacterial small subunit ribosomal RNA", at positions 524 to 776 of the family's 1533-position model. The record is from RNAcentral.
UACGUAGGGUGCAAGCGUUGUCCGGAAUUAUUGGGCGUAAAGAGCUCGUAGGCGGUUUGUCGCGUCUGCUGUGAAACCCGAGGCUCAACCUCGGGCCUGCAGUGGGUACGGGCAGACUAGAGUGCGGUAGGGGAGAUUGGAAUUCCUGGUGUAGCGGUGGAAUGCGCAGAUAUCAGGAGGAACACCAACAGCGAAGGCAGAUCUCUGGGACGUUACUGACGCUGAGACGCGAAAGCGUGGGGAGCAAACAGG